This 544-nucleotide long non-coding RNA is filed under the name Citrus maxima (pomelo). Its description in RNAcentral is "long non-coding RNA (CMAX_LNC003011)". Lineage: Eukaryota; Viridiplantae; Streptophyta; Magnoliopsida; Sapindales; Rutaceae. The record is from RNAcentral.
AUUUUUCCACAAAAAUUUCCUCUGAAAACUCUUUAUCGUUUCCUUACCAAAACCCUGAAGAGGGAGCUCUUUCUCUCCUUCUCCAGUGGCCUUUCCUUUUCUUUUUUGUUUUUUUGUUACAGCCUCCUCAUCCUUAUGGAUUGAGGAUGGAUGUCUUGUUUUAGCCUCCUCCACUUUCAGGUGUGAGGAUGCAAGAUCUACUUCAGUUUCUUCCUCCUUCAGCUAUGAGUAAAGAUUGCUGUGUGGGAUCAAUUUUUAUAAAAAAUCUAGUUUGGUAUACCAGUUGGAAACUCUUAACUAUGUUGAUAGAUAUUGCACCAAAAGAGUCAGGGAAUCACGAUUGGAGCUUGAACUAUCUCUGUACUGUGCUUUUAAUUCAUGGAUAUAUAGAAGCGUUUCUUCUUGGUCUUCAGUAUGGUUUUAUGGGUUAAUCCAAUUGGUCUCUAUAAUUUGAUCUCUGUCAUAUGUACUAAUGAUGUGGUACGUGCGAAUAUUAUUGUACUGUUGUUAUUUGUUUAAUGAAAUAUUACAUUUUCCUGUCAAA